GAUGAACGCUGGCGGCGUGCCUAAUACAUGCAAGUCGAGCGAACGGACGAGAAGCUUGCUUCUCUGAUGUUAGCGGCGGACGGGUGAGUAACACGUGGAUAACCUACCUAUAAGACUGGGAUAACUUAGGGAAACCGGAGCUAAUACCGGAUAAUAUUUUGAACCGCAUGGUUCAAAAGUGAAAGACGGUCUUGCUGUCACUUAUAGAUGGAUCCGCGCUGCAUUAGCUAGUUGGUAAGGUAACGGCUUACCAAGGCAACGAUGCAUAGCCGACCUGGAAGGGUGAUCGGCCACACUGGAACUGAGACACGGUCCCGACUCCUACGGGAGGCCGCAGUAGGGAAUCUUCCGCAAUGGGCGAAAGCCUGACGGAGCAACGCCGCGUGAGUGAUGAAGGUCUUCGGAUCGUAAAACUCUGUUAUUAGGGAAGAACAUAUGUGUAAGUAACUGUGCACAUCUUGACGGUACCUAAUCAGAAAGCCACGGCUAACUACGUG
Molecule: ribosomal RNA, 497 nt
Filed under: uncultured bacterium
Lineage: Bacteria
Description: partial 16S ribosomal RNA
Rfam family: Bacterial small subunit ribosomal RNA
Source: RNAcentral